CCCUUUGAAAGACCCUGGCGGCAUGCCUUACACAUGCAAGUCGAACGGCAGCACGGGGGCAACCCUGGUGGCGAGUGGCGAACGGGUGAGUAAUACAUCGGAACGUGUCCUGUAGUGGGGGAUAGCCCGGCGAAAGCCGGAUUAAUACCGCAUACGAUCUACGGAGGAAAGCGGGGGAUCUUCGGACCUCGCGCUGCAGGGGCGGCCGAUGGCAGAUUAGCUAGUUGGUGGGGUAAAGGCCUACCAAGGCGACGAUCUGUAGCUGGUCUGAGAGGACGACCAGCCACACUGGGACUGAGACACGGCCCAGACUCCUACGGGAGGCAGCAGUGGGGAAUUUUGGACAAUGGGGGCAACCCUGAUCCAGCAAUGCCGCGUGUGUGAAGAAGGCCUUCGGGUUGUAAAGCACUUUUGUCCGGAAAGAAAACUUCGUCCCUAAUAUGGAUGGAGGAUGACGGUACCGGAAGAAUAAGCACCGGCUAACUACGUGCCAGCAGCCGCGGUAAUACGUAGGGUGCGAGCGUUAAUCGGAAUUACUGGGCGUAAAGCGUGCGCAGGCGGUCUGUUAAGACCGAUGUGAAAUCCCCGGGCUUAACCUGGGAACUGCAUUGGUGACUGGCAGGCUAGAGUGUGGCAGAGGGAGGUAGAAUUCCACGUGUAGCAGUGAAAUGCGUAGAAGAUGUGGAGGAAUACCCGAUGGCGAAGGCUUCCUCCU
RNAcentral lists this ribosomal RNA (715 nucleotides) under uncultured bacterium. Its description in RNAcentral is "bacterial SSU rRNA". It matches the Rfam family "Bacterial small subunit ribosomal RNA", at positions 21 to 730 of the family's 1533-position model. The record is from RNAcentral.